GAUGAACGCUGGCGGCGUGCUUAACACAUGCAAGUCGAACGGAAAGGCCGAAGCUUGCUUCGGUCCUCGAGUGGCGAACGGGUGAGUAACACGUGGGUGAUCUGCCCUGUACUUCGGGAUAAGCUUGGGAAACUGGGUCUAAUACCGGAUAUGACGAUCUCUUGGAUGGGGUUGUGGAAAGCUUUUGCGGUAUGGGAUGAGCUCGCGGCCUAUCAGCUUGUUGGUGGGGUAAUGGCCUACCAAGGCGUCGACGGGUAGCCGGCCUGAGAGGGUGUACGGCAACAUUGGGAAAGAGAAACGGCCCAGACUCCUACGGGAGGCAGCAGUGGGGAAUAUUGCACAAUGGGCGAAAGCCUGAUGCAGCGACGCCGCGUGGGGGAUGACGGCCUUCGGGUUGUAAACUCCUUUCGCAAUCGACGAAGCCUUUUGGUGACGGUAGGUUGAGAAGAAGCACCGGCUAACUACGUG
This 468-nucleotide ribosomal RNA is filed under the name uncultured bacterium. Its description in RNAcentral is "partial 16S ribosomal RNA". It matches the Rfam family "Bacterial small subunit ribosomal RNA", at positions 28 to 507 of the family's 1533-position model. The record is from RNAcentral.